RNAcentral lists this ribosomal RNA (486 nucleotides) under uncultured bacterium. Its description in RNAcentral is "partial 16S ribosomal RNA". It matches the Rfam family "Bacterial small subunit ribosomal RNA", at positions 30 to 507 of the family's 1533-position model. The record is from RNAcentral.
AUUGAACGCUGGCGGCAUGCCUUACACAUGCAAGUCGAACGGCAGCACGGGCGCUUGCACCUGGUGGCGAGUGGCGAACGGGUGAGUAAUACAUCGGAACAUGUCCUGUAGUGGGGGAUAGCCCGGCGAAAGCCGGAUUAAUACCGCAUACGAUCUACGGAUGAAAGCGGGGGACCUUCGGGCCUCGCGCUAUAGGGUUGGCCGAUGGCUGAUUAGCUAGUUGGUGGGGUAAAGGCCUACCAAGGCGACGAUCAGUAGCUGGUCUGAGAGGACGACCAGCCACACUGGGACUGAGACACGGCCCAGACUCCUACGGGAGGCAGCAGUGGGGAAUUUUGGACAAUGGGCGAAAGCCUGAUCCAGCAAUGCCGCGUGUGUGAAGAAGGCCUUCGGGUUGUAAAGCACUUUUGUCCGGAAAGAAAUCCUUGGCCCUAAUACGGUCGGGGGAUGACGGUACCGGAAGAAUAAGCACCGGCUAACUACGUG